RNAcentral lists this transfer RNA (96 nucleotides) under Cnuibacter physcomitrellae. RNAcentral's name for it is "tRNA-Thr". Lineage: Bacteria; Bacillati; Actinomycetota; Actinomycetes; Micrococcales; Microbacteriaceae. The record is from RNAcentral.
UGCCGGCGGUGGGACACGUCGGUCCGAUGCUGGUCGUCGCGGAAGAGCUGCUGCGGCGAGGCUGGCGGGUCCGGUUCCUCACCGGGCGCCGCUAUC